This 6703-nucleotide transfer RNA is filed under the name Sus scrofa (pig). RNAcentral's name for it is "lncRNA (ENSSSCG00000062236.1)". The record is from RNAcentral. Lineage: Eukaryota; Metazoa; Chordata; Mammalia; Artiodactyla; Suidae.
GGAGUUCCCGACACGGCUCAGUGGUUAACGAAUCCCACUAGGAACCAUUUGGUUGUGGGUUCAAUCCCUGGCCUUGCUCAGUGGGUUGGGGAUCCCGCGUUGCCGUGAGCUGUGGUGUAGUUUGCAAACAUGGCUUGGAUCCCGUGUUGCUGUGGCUCUGUUGUAGGCUGGAGGCUACAGCUCCAAUUUGACUCCUAGCCUGGGAACCUCCAUAUGCCGCGGGAGCAGCCCAAGAAAUGGCAAAAAGACAAAAAAAAAAAAAAAAAAAAAAAAAAAUGAGAAUCUCAAGGCUGUAGAGGUUAAGUAAUCUAUAAGCAUUGGCACCAAGGUUUCAAUCAGACUUGCUGUAAGAACCAGAUUAUUCCCCAGAUACCACAUGUUGCCUUCUCAAAUACAGACUUGAAAAAUAGAUAACACCGAGGCUAUGGGGGAUGAUUGCUACGUUAAUUUGAACCUCUUAGUAAGGUCAGAAAAUGGACCAUAGAAUGAGACAAACAACAGCUUUUUUUUUUUUUUUUUUUUUUUUUAAAUCACUGAGAAUAGCAGGAGGAAGACUUGAGAGGUCAAAAAGUAAUUUUAAAUGGUAAUCUGUUAGCUAUAUCAAGAGUAGUUAUGGGAAUGACAUCACCGGGGGGAAAAGAGUAAAUAUUUCAACAGACUAUUAAUCUAUCACAAUUAACAGAUCUAAAACAAAGCAUCAUUAAUAGUCUUCUGCUUCCUUUUUCCUGGCUACAGUGCUGGAAAGAGCUACACGAGCAUAUGACUGAAUUGUUUUGCAAGGCUGGGUAACCUACAGCUGGUUCAUGGUCAAUGGCUGAAGCCUCACUGGAGAUGUAAAUUAUGUUAGUCUGUGAGUUUCAUGACAUGUACCUGAGGAGCACAAACUUGUGUGUAGUGAGUCAGAGAGCAAUUGGUUUCUUGGUACCCUUUUCACAUAUGCACCAUGUGAAUACUGAACAGUAAUGACUUGCCUGGCAAAUCCAUUUCAUGGCGGAGAGACAGAAAUGUGUCCUGAUUCUCAAGCUCUUAGUUUUGUGUCACUGAAAAAGAAUUGCAAUCCUUUCUGUCCAUUUGUUAGCUGCGUCUGUUUUUCUAUUAGUACAAUGCAUGUAAGGCUCUUGGGACAACAUUAUUGUGUAAGUGAAAUCAAUGGACGCAUAUAAAACACUUGGGGUCAUGCAGAGAACAGAGUAAGACCUCAAACAAUAGUUAGCAUUUGUUAGCGUUAUGGAUAUAGCGUUCUGCCACCUGACUCUUCUCAAAAGGAAAUUAAUACCCAUAUUUGUCUCGAGUAAGUUUUGGUGUCAUGGGAUCGACCCCAGAAGGCUGCUAGCAGAGCCAAAUGGGAGAAAACCCAGUCUGACUUGUAGCUCAGGAGGGCUAGUGUUUACAUUUGGGCUGUGUCUUUGGUUACUUUUAAUCUGACCAACCUGGUGCUUCACCAGCAUAAAACUACUUCCUCCCAAGGUUUUCACUUGCAGAAACAAAAAGACCCUUGAGGCCAAUAAGUACUUAUUUAUUUUUAAAUGUUUUAAAAUUAAAAUAAUCGUGUGAGGCUUUUGCUUCAGCUUUCUUUCUGAAAUGACUCUUGACAGGAACUGGAAAUAGUUCUUGUCAAUGCAGCCAUUAUCUCUUGUGACCCAACGGUAUGUGGGAGGUAGAGUGGAAUUUCUGAGUUCUUUGUACCUAGGAAUGAACUGUCUGUCAUUUAGUUAAAAUAAAUUAUUGAUUUUUCAAUCAAAUCAAAAUAUUGAGUCAAACAAGUGGGUACUGUACUUGAAUUUUCCUUUACUUGUAAGAACUGUUUUUCACUAUUUUAUGACUAGUGGGGGGAAAUAUGGGGUUAUAAAUAACAAACACACGUUUGGGGCUUAAUGAAACCCAUAGAGGCAGUUAUAGGACAGUCUGGAAGAAACUUGAAAUUACCAUUAUGUCCCAGGAAAAUAAAUAAUUCUUUUUCUUGCCUUAUCAGAUAAGCAACCUGACAAUAUGCUUUGGAAACAAUUUAGAAUAUUUAGUUUCUCUCUUCAUUAGAGGCCUGUGCAUGAAGCUCAGAUCAUUCCUUCCAGAAUCCGGAGGUUUCUCUUAUCUCUCCUGGGAACAAGGAUGUUAAGUGUCCUCAGCAUCGCUUCAGGGCUUGGGCUUGGGCAGGUCUUAAGAGCAAGACAAAUGACUGGUUUUGCUGGAAGGGAACUAGAGAAAGCUGGACACAUGUUCAAGUGGAAUAGAGAAUAAUGACAGAUAGCUUUAGCACAUCGAGCUUUCCUCCAGCGAUUAAGAGAUGACUCCAUGUGGGGUUACUGUGUUGUUGCUUCAAGACCUGCAACAUUUAAGUAUCUACGGCCUGGGAGUAGAAAAUGCCAAAGAUCAUUCUAAUUUCUUCUUUAAAUUACCUCCAAAAGCUCUAAUUUUUUCAGGAAUAAACUCCAAAAUGCUCAGCAUGAGAAUCUGAAUUUCUUUGCUCUGCUUCUACCUACUUAUCCAGUUCCUGUGGUUCUGUUUCUCUCUUCCAACCUUGGGCUGCACAUGCUCUCUUCAUAACAAAUAGCAGCAUCACUGUACCACAUCAUGUACAUGUACCUCUCUGCCUUUGAAUGUCAUUCUCCUUUUGUCCAAAAAUGGCCUGACACCCUUUAUUUCCUAGACAAAGUGAAAAAUUAUCAUUUAAAACAUGCUACUUAGUCUGAAAUCUGGGAUGUGUGUACUUUCUAUGUUAUUUCAAAGUAUCCUUUCUUUUUCUUAAUCAUUUAUCAUAUUGUAAUCCUCUGCUUUAUUGUUUGCAUCUACCUUUAAACCAGUGACUUGGAUUUAAUUGGUGUUAAGUGGGGCCUCCAACUCAGUGGUCUGUUUUAAAAGUUCCCUUGGGAUUGGCAUAUGCACACUGAGCUAUCUCAAAUGAUAGGCCAACGGGGACCUGCUGUAUAGCACAGAGAACGCUACCCAAUAUUCUGUGAUAAUCUGUGUGGGAAAAGAAUCUGAAAGAGAGUGGAUGUGUACAUGUACAACUAAGUCAUUUUGUUGUACAGAGGAAAUUAUCACAACCUUGUAAAUUAACUAUACUUCAAUAAAACUUUUAAAAAAGAAAAAAAGAAGAAAAUUUCCCUAGUGAUUCUGGUUCACACCAAGGACUAAGAUCCACUGGAUUUGACUGAAAACUCCAUGAAGAUAGAACGGUUGACUGACUAGUUCAUUGCGAUCCCUUGUUUUCUAGCUCCGUGCUACAGUAAAUCAAGAAAUAUACAUGGAUUAAAUGUCCUUGUGUCCCCAGUGCUUGGUACAGUGUAAAACAAUUGCCGAAUGAAUGAAUGAAUACAUUAAAUUCUACAAGGGUUACACAAACUAGUAAACCACAGGAUUUACUUUUAAAAAGUAAUAGUUGGAUAAGAAUAAGAGGAAAUGGAGACAUACAUCAAGAAUUCUGACAUAGUCACUCAUACAGUCAGUGGCAAAAAUAUUUAUAGUGGUUGGAAUGGUUUCUUCCAGAGAGUGUCUUUCAUGGGGAAGAUUUUUCUUCUUUCUGAAUGCAGAAAUUUUCCAAGUGGUUUGGCAGAAGUCCAGUUCAUUGAAGUUUUGAGCAAAUUCUGUUUAAGUUCCUUUGCUAAAUCUUCUGAGGUCAUUCCAGACCAUUUGCCUUUCUCUGUUUGGCACUAAGGCAGGAAAUGUUUUUCUCCAUUUUUAAAGUGCAGUUCUAGGGGCCGGUGAAGAAUGCACGGGAUGCAACAUGCUAUCAGCCCCCUCCAGCUGUUUAUCGUGGUCUUUUUCAUUCUUAACUGGGACAUCAAGUUCUUUUGGAUACUAGUUAUUGUUUUAUACAUAAGACAAAAUAAACAUUUCCUGGAGGACUUCAGAGGGUAACUACUCUUAGGUUUUAUCUUGCAUUUUCCUUCAAUCCAAAGAGGAAAAAAUAAGAUUUAACUUGAAAGAGGACUCCCGUUUAUCAGGCUAUGCUGUAGUCAGUGAGCUGGUACAUUCUUUUUCUUUUCUUUUUUUUUAUGAGCCUGAGAGUGUCCAACCCCUCACUCUAACUUUCCCCAUCUUGAAUCACUUAAUGUUUUAAACUUGCAAGUGGUCAUGGCCUCCACCCAAGAUCAUCUGAAAACAAUGGUACCUGAGUCACUGACAUUCUUAAGGUCUUACUUGGAAGGAGUUGUUUGGAGCGGCUGUAGUCUGACCUGAGUCAUUCCACACUGGGCCAGGGAGGCUAAAGGAUUGGACUCUUCCCAAAGGAACGCUUGUUAUUGUCGUGAAUCUCCAGAAAGAGACAUGUAGUUAGAGCUAAGAGAACAUGAGCUUUGCCUCAGAUUGACUGUCGGAUGGGGACAGACCAUGACCUUUUUAAUCAGGAUAGGCUUAGCCUGGAUAUUUUGUACAAAGUAAGUUGGCUUCUGGUGGAAUUUCCCAGAGAGACCACCCUGGAGGAAGGUAUGAUGAUUUAGUGAGAAGGCCAUGGGAUUUGGAGUCAGACUUAGGUUUAAUUCCUGCCUCUACCUGUCUUAUCAUACUGUCUCUGCCAUGUACUCUGCAAAUUAGGUAAGAUGCUUAACCUCUCUGAAGCCUAAUUUCUCAUCUAUAAAAUAUAAUAACAACUAAAGAAAUGAAAUAUUAUUGAAUUUGUCAGGUACACAUUUUAUUUUAAAAUAUUAAUUAAAACAAUACUGUGUGCUGUAGAAGAGAAACAGAGUUUCUGCCCUCCUACUAUUCACAUUAAUGUAGAGCAACAUAUAAAACAGCAGUAGAAACAGAAUUGAUAUCUACCUUAAUAUUAUCAUUUAGAAAAACCAAGUGGCGUUAUAUGUUUAUAGAUCUACCUUGAAAGUGUUAAUAGCACCAUACCCACAUUCAUUUCUAAAAAUAGGUUGCAUUUCCUCUCCUAUUGACCAAAACCAAAGUAUUUUAAGAGUAGGAAAUGGUACCUGGUUGGGAAAGGGGUAUUUUUUCAGAAACCAGAAAGGAAGAUAGUUUAGUUACAGAGUGCAACCGAGAGCAUAAUGUAGGCAUUUUCUCAACUGCCUCUUGGAAGCAGGGCUAAAGUAGGCAGUCCAGGUGUUUGCUCAAUUGUGUGAUUUGGUGGGCCUGAGAUAGAAGGACCUGCCUGGAAAGAGACUAAUCCUUCAUAAACUAUGUAGUAUGCUUGUGAAAAAGACUGUGGUAUGUAAAACUAUGGAGGGCAAGACUGAGGACUUAAAGAAAAUAGAGGUUUGUGGGAAAAGCAAUAAAAAUGAUGUAUAUGUGUUUUUAUUUAAACAUCACAGUUCAUAAACGUUCUCGAAGGCAUCCACUGCUAAAACAAACUAAAUGUGUUGGUGUUAAAAUGUAGCUCCAAUAAGUGAUCAUUUUCCUGACUGUCCUACUGAAUUGUUCUGGAAAACCCCUGAAAUGGAUUUUUCCAUGAGUCAUAUGUUUUGCAAACUCAUUUGAAAAAUUUGGACCCUACUGACUUGAGAUUUAACAUUUUUUUUGCACUUAUCUUUCGGCUAAUUUCCUCAAGUAUUAGAAAAAUGUUGAUAUAGCCACUCUGCCUAGAAGCCUUCAUCCCACAUACCUAGAGGGUGCAGCCUAAUCAAAUGUCCCUUCUACACUAUAUACCUCUACUUGGGGAGCAGGCACGGGGAGGAAUAUGGCUUUGGAACACUUUUGUUUAAAAGGAGUCAAGCACACAAAAUGUGGGUAACACUAUUGUAGACUCUUUAAGUUGUCAUUCAAAUGUAAAAACUGCAUAUUCUUGUAACUUGAAGCCUACAUCCAGUGAGUCACUCAUUUGGGUGUUAUCUUGGGAAUUGGUAUGGUAUGUUACUGUGAAUAGAUAAAAAUUGAGUUUAUCAUUUUUUUUUUCUUGCCAUGGUUGUCAGGGACAUGAUAUGCAAUCUCAGUUCCCAGACCAGGGAUUGAACCUGGUCCAUAGCGAUGAAAGUGCCAAAUCCUAACCACUAGACCACCAGGGAACUCCCCAGUUAAUCAUUUAUAAGCAUUCAUUUGAAAGCUAGUUUAUCAAAUGAGCAAAUAAGUUGUCCUAGGGGCACAAGUCAGAAAAACAUAGUGAGUGUAGGGGGGAUACAGAGAAGUUCUGGAGACAUGGCUCUGAUGAUCCCGAAGAAACCUUCAGUGGGAGUCAUUCGUGGUGGUAUGAAUGCGGUGAUGGGUUGUGCGGAGGGAAGAGACACAGCCAAAAUUAAUGGCAGAAGGCCACUCUUUUGUCCCUUAUUUUGGCCUAUAAUUGACCCUGUUUAGAAUGAAGGCUUCAGUAUUGCUGCUUUUGCUCUGACAGAGUUUAGUUGAAAAUAAUAGAGCUUAGUUAAUUAUUGUGGCUGAGGGCUGACAGACUUCCUCAUACAAUCCUAUCUAUACUAAUCUUCAUAUGUAAGAAAACACCAAGGGAGUAUAGAAACCAAACUUUUAUGUGAAAAUACCUGACUUACUGUGUUCUUGUUUACCCUUUAGAGUUUCUGUGUUUCCUGGUCAAAUUUAUUCUUUACUCAUUUAAAAUCAAAGCACAGGAGUUCCCAUCCUGGCUCAGUGGUAAUGAACCCAACAAGUAUCCAUGAGGACACAGGUUAAAACCCUGGCCCUGCUCAGUGGGUUAAGGAUCUGGUGUUGCUGUGAGCUAUCGUGUAGGUCGCAGAUGCAGCUCAGAUCCCACGUUGCUGUGGCUGUGGCGUAGGCUGACAGCUACAGCUCCAAUUCGACCCCUAGCCUGGAAACUUCC